This 133-nucleotide ribosomal RNA is filed under the name Klebsiella pneumoniae. Its description in RNAcentral is "partial 16S ribosomal RNA". It matches the Rfam family "Bacterial small subunit ribosomal RNA", at positions 1411 to 1533 of the family's 1533-position model. Lineage: Bacteria; Pseudomonadati; Pseudomonadota; Gammaproteobacteria; Enterobacterales; Enterobacteriaceae. RNAcentral also lists the same sequence under 6 other names. The record is from RNAcentral.
UGGGUUGCAAAAGAAGUAGGUAGCUUAACCUUCGGGAGGGCGCUUACCACUUUGUGAUUCAUGACUGGGGUGAAGUCGUAACAAGGUAACCGUAGGGGAACCUGCGGUUGGAUCACCUCCUUACCUUAAAGAA